GGAAGGAUCAUUAACACUAAUCCAUCUCAUCUAAACUGAGCCUUAAGUUGCAGAGUUACAGCUGCCUGCUUCGGCGGGACAGCCUCUAGCUUCUGCAUCUCACAAACCUGUUAACUCAAAGGAAGCUAACUAAGCCCCAUUACUAAAACCAAAUUUUCAACGAUGGAUAUCUUGGUUCCCAUAACGAUGAAGAACGCAGCGAAGUGCGAUAAGCAGUGCGAAUUGCAGAACCGUGAGUCAUCAGAUCUUUGAACGCAACUGGCGCCGGCUGGCUCCCCAGUCGGCAUGCUUGUUUCAGUGUCUCGUUAUCUCCUCACCCAAAUCUUAAUGCUCGAGAUACCCUUCUCUUGCCAAGUAUGAAAGCACUCUGCAAUCUGCAGGCGAUCUCACUUGUUGAGAGUCGCACUCAAUGCAGCAGUCACAUUGAUCACAGUGUGAACUCAUUGAGAGUAGAAGCAGCUCAGCUAGUCUGUCAGUGCUUAGUGAACCAAACUUUACUGUCAUCUGAAAUCAAGCAGGACCACCCCCUGAACUUAAGCAUAUCACUAAGGGGAGGAAAAGAAAUUAACUAAGAUUGCCUCAGUAACGGCGAGUGAAGCGGCAAAAGCCCAAACUGGAAAUCUUCGUACUCCGUACGACGAAUUGUAAUCUAAAGGUGGGAAACUCACCUGGUGGUGGCGCAGAAGUUCCCUCGGAUGGGACGCCAGAGAGGGUGACAGCCCCGUAUGUGGUGCCACUGCCUAACGAGUUCCUUUCUACGAGUCGGGUUGUUUUGAAUUGCAGCCCUAAGCGGGGGAUAGACUUCCUCUAAGGCUAAAUAUAUAUGGGAAACCGAUAGCGAACAAGUACUGUGAAGGAAAGAUGAAAAGAACUUUGAAAAGAGAGUCAAAAGACUUGAAAUCGUUGAGAAGGAAGCGGUAGAAAUUUAUUGUGCGGCGGAGAAUGAUGGUGCUCGCCUAACCAUUCGUGCUUGUCAGCACCGCAAGGGCUGCUGGUGCGACGUGGGGAAGCGACAGCCGGAUUCUCCGUUGUAAAGCAAAAUGAGGUGCUGCUCCCACAAAAGUUUGGGGUCUAGGUUCGCCUCGUCCCCUUUGCUGGUGGGCGCAGCGCCUGAGGAAGCCUUGUGCGAUUUUGCUAAAAUGGUUUUUACCGACCCGUCUUGAAACACGGACCAAGGAGUCUAACACAUAUGCGAGUGUGCUGGUGGAAAAACCAACACGCGUAAUGAAAGUGACAGAUGCCAAGCGCAAGCAGCAGCAUCGGCCGACCAUGAUCCUCAGGUGAAAGGUUUGAGUAUGAGCAUAUCUGUUAGGACCCGAAAGAUGGUGAACUAUGCCUGGGUAGGGUGAAGCCAGGGGAAACUCUGGUGGAGGCUCGUAGCGGUUCUGACGUGCAAAUCGAUCGUCAAACUUGGGUAUAGGGGCGAAAGACUAAUCGAACCAUCUAGUAGCUGGUUCCCUC
Molecule: unclassified non-coding RNA, 1461 nt
Filed under: uncultured fungus
Lineage: Eukaryota; Fungi
Description: sequence contains 18S rRNA gene, ITS1, 5.8S rRNA gene, ITS2, 28S rRNA gene
Rfam family: Eukaryotic large subunit ribosomal RNA (bases 501-1461)
Source: RNAcentral